UACGAAGGGGGCUAGCGUUGUUCGGAUUUACUGGGCGUAAAGCGCACGUAGGCGGAUCGUUAAGUCGGGGGUGAAAUCCUGGAGCUCAACUCCAGAACUGCCUUCGAUACUGGCGAUCUUGAGUCCGGAAGAGGUGAGUGGAACUCCUAGUGUAGAGGUGGAAUUCGUAGAUAUUAGGAAGAACACCAGUGGCGAAGGCGGCUCACUGGUCCGGUACUGACGCUGAGGUGCGAAAGCG
This 238-nucleotide ribosomal RNA is filed under the name uncultured bacterium. Its description in RNAcentral is "partial 16S ribosomal RNA". It matches the Rfam family "Bacterial small subunit ribosomal RNA", at positions 524 to 761 of the family's 1533-position model. The record is from RNAcentral.